UAGCGUAGGCAGCAGGCGUUGUUCGGAAUUACUGGGGCGUAAAGAGUGUGUAGGCGGUGCUCCAAGUCUGGUGUGAAAUCUCCCGGCUUAACUGGGAGGGUGCAUUUAGAAACUGGAAUGCUAGAGGAUGGGAAGAGGUAAAGGCGGAAUUCCUGGAUGUAGCGGUGAAAUGCGUAGAUAUCAGGAGGAACACCUGUGGUGUAGACAGCUUACUGGACCAUUCUGACGCUGAGACACGAAAGCGUGGGUAGCAAACAGGAUAGAUACC
Molecule: ribosomal RNA, 268 nt
Filed under: uncultured bacterium
Lineage: Bacteria
Description: partial 16S ribosomal RNA
Rfam family: Bacterial small subunit ribosomal RNA
Source: RNAcentral